This is a non-coding RNA of Vicia faba (fava bean), 252 nucleotides long. The record is from the annotation of a GenBank genome assembly. Lineage: Eukaryota; Viridiplantae; Streptophyta; Magnoliopsida; Fabales; Fabaceae.
AUGUCGCCGAGGGAGGAUAAGUGGGACAGGAGGGAAUUAGUGAGGGGUUUAGGUGGGAAGGAACGGUGGGUUGUGAGGGUUUUGAAGGAUUUCCAAGCUUCAUCGGUUUGGGAAGUGAUGAUGGAUUUGUGGAGAGUUGUUUGGAGAGAUGAAAGUUGGUGGGGUGUGAGGGAGAGUGAGGGUGGUGGAGGAGUUGGGAGGUUUUGGGGUUCGUCGAAAAAGGGUUUUUUGAGGGAGAAUAAACAGGGUUGA